GAUGAACGCUGGCGGCGUGCCUAAUACAUGCAAGUCGAGCGAACAGACGAGGAGCUUGCUCCUUUGACGUUAGCGGCGGACGGGUGAGUAACACGUGGAUAACCUACCUAUAAGACUGGGAUAACUUCGGGAAACCGGAGCUAAUACCGGAUAACAUGUUGAACCGCAUGGUUCACCAGUGAAAGACGGUCUUGCUGUCACUUAUAGAUGGAUCCGCGCCGCAUUAGCUAGUUGGUAAGGUAACGGCUUACCAAGGCAACGAUGCGUAGCCGACCUGAGAGGGUGAUCGGCCACACUGGAACUGAGACACGGUCCAGACUCCUACGGGAGGCAGCAGUAGGGAAUUUUCCGCAAUGGGCGAAAGCCUGACCGAGCAACGCCGCGUGAGUGAAGAAGGUCUUCGGAUCGUAAAACUCUUUUAUUAGGGAAGAACAAAUGUGUAAGUAACUAUGCACGUCUUGACGGUACCUAAUGAGAAAGCAACGGCUAACUACGUG
RNAcentral lists this ribosomal RNA (497 nucleotides) under uncultured bacterium. Its description in RNAcentral is "partial 16S ribosomal RNA". It matches the Rfam family "Bacterial small subunit ribosomal RNA", at positions 28 to 507 of the family's 1533-position model. The record is from RNAcentral.